This 118-nucleotide transfer RNA is filed under the name Caudoviricetes sp. RNAcentral's name for it is "tRNA-OTHER". It matches the Rfam family "tRNA". From Rfam's summary of the family: Transfer RNA (tRNA) molecules are approximately 80 nucleotides in length. Their secondary structure includes four short double-helical elements and three loops (D, anti-codon, and T loops). The record is from RNAcentral. Lineage: Duplodnaviria; Heunggongvirae; Uroviricota; Caudoviricetes.
GGCGAGGUAGCUCAAUUGGUAGAGCAGUAAAAGAUUGUAAGUCAUGUUUGUGACUUCUACAGCAAUCGUUCUUUCCAUUACAAGGUACGUGUUGGUGGUUCGAGUCCACCCCUUGCCA